RNAcentral lists this ribosomal RNA (495 nucleotides) under uncultured bacterium. Its description in RNAcentral is "partial 16S ribosomal RNA". It matches the Rfam family "Bacterial small subunit ribosomal RNA", at positions 28 to 523 of the family's 1533-position model. The record is from RNAcentral.
GAUGAACGCUAGCGGGAGGCCUAACACAUGCAAGCCGAGCGGUAUUGUUUCUUCGGAAAUGAGAGAGCGGCGUACGGGUGCGUAACACGUGUGCAACCUGCCUUUAUCUGGGGGAUAGCCUUUCGAAAGGAAGAUUAAUACUCCAUAAUAUAUUGAACGGCAUCGUUUAAUAUUGAAAGCUCCGGCGGAUAGAGAUGGGCACGCGCAAGAUUAGCUAGUUGGUGAGGUAACGGCUCACCAAGGCGAUGAUCUUUAGGGGGCCUGAGAGGGUGAUCCCCCACAAGGGGACUGAGACACGGAACAGAAUCCUACGGGAGGCAGCAGUGAGGAAUAUUGGUCAAUGGGUGCAAGCCUGAACCAGCCAUCCCGCGUGAAGGACGACUGCCCUAUGGGUUGUAAACUUCUUUUGUAUAGGGAUAAACCUACCCUCGUGAGGGUAGCUGAAGGUACUAUACGAAUAAGCACCGGCUAACUCCGUGCCAGCCGCCGCCGUAA